UCAGGACUAACGCUGGCGGCGUGCCUAAUACAUGCAAGUCGAGCGGACUUUAAAAAGCUUGCUUUUAAAGUUAGCGGCGGACGGGUGAGUAACACGUGGGCAACCUGCCUGUAAGACUGGGAUAACUUCGGGAAACCGGAGCUAAUACCGGAUAAUCCUUUUCUACACAUGUAGAAAAGCUGAAAGACGGUUUACGCUGUCACUUACAGAUGGGCCCGCGGCGCAUUAGCUAGUUGGUGAGGUAACGGCUCACCAAGGCAACGAUGCGUAGCCGACCUGAGAGGGUGAUCGGCCACACUGGGACUGAGACACGGCCCAGACUCAUACGGGAGGCAGCAGUAGGGAAUCUUCCGCAAUGGACGAAAGUCUGACGGAGCAACGCCGCGUGAGUGAUGAAGGUUUUCGGAUCGUAAAACUCUGUUGUUAGGGAAGAACAAGUACAAGAGGAACUGCUUGUACCUUGACGGUACCUAACCAGAAAGCCACGGCUAACUACGUGCCAGCAGCCGCGGUAAUACGUAGGUGGCAAGCGUUGUCCGGAAUUAUUGGGCGUAAAGCGCGCGCAGGCGGUCCUUUAAGUCUGAUGUGAAAGCCCACGGCUCAACCGUGGAGGGUCAUUGGAAACUGGGGGACUUGAGUGCAGAAGAGAAGAGUGGAAUUCCACGUGUAGCGGUGAAAUGCGUAGAGAUGUGGAGGAACACCAGUGGCGAAGGCGACUCUUUGGUCUGUAACUGACGCUGAGGCGCGAAAGCGUGGGGAGCAAACAGGAUUAGAUACCCUGGUAGUCCACGCCGUAAACGAUGAGUGCUAAGUG
This 814-nucleotide ribosomal RNA is filed under the name Bacillus sp. KSUM_28. RNAcentral's name for it is "bacterial SSU rRNA". It matches the Rfam family "Bacterial small subunit ribosomal RNA", at positions 24 to 822 of the family's 1533-position model. Lineage: Bacteria; Bacillati; Bacillota; Bacilli; Caryophanales; Bacillaceae. The record is from RNAcentral.